ACUUAAAUAUCAAUAUAAGUUCAUCUUUAUACUAUAGUCUCUUUCUAUCAUCGGCAUUAAAUUUGGUCUUUUAAUCGAGGGUUCCUUAGCACUGAAAGUGUGGGGUAAUUAACAGCAGAUUCUUAAAUCUGCUGGAAACCAUUAAUCUAUAAUUCUGAUUUUAAAAUAAAAUUUAAAUAGAUUUUAUCUCUACCAUUAAUGAUCACUUGCUGGAGAAAAGCCUACGGUGGGGCCGAUUCGUUCGUGGCGGCAGACACUAAUCAAUCUCCCUCUCUCAACUUCUUAAAAUCAUCUUCUAAUUUCUCCUUUACACUGUCUGAAAAAUAUGCCCCAUAUAACGUUCCCUAGAACUCCUCCCAGGUAACUGAAU
This 370-nucleotide long non-coding RNA is filed under the name Ananas comosus (pineapple). Its description in RNAcentral is "long non-coding RNA (ACOM_LNC010250)". Lineage: Eukaryota; Viridiplantae; Streptophyta; Magnoliopsida; Poales; Bromeliaceae. The record is from RNAcentral.